CCCUGAGGAAGAAGUCCUCAGGCUCCCACCUCUGGAGGAUGCCCAACCCUCCGUCCAAAGCUUUGCCACCGCUGGACAGAGCGCCAUGUUUACAGAAGUCACACUCUGCCCAGAACUUAACUACAGACUCUCUUCACUCCCCUGCACCCUCUAGUGACCAAACUGAGAUGCACAAGAGACCUCAGCAGCUUUUCCUGGAUCAUUUCACUUCCAGACCUUCCUUCCUCUUUUCCUCCCCCUCCCCUGGCUCUCCACAGUCUCCCCGCUCCCCUCUGUCAUGGGAGAGUCCCAAACACAAGCCACAGCAUUCCUACAUGAACCCCACCGCUAGCUCCAUGGCUAAAAGCAGCCGGUCCUCUUCUCUGGGAGACGGUAUCCACUUGAGCACUCCGCCUAUGUCCCCCCGCUUCCCCAAACGCAGAAGGUCAUCUGAGGAGCUGGAGGUCGAGCCUCCCCUACUCAGCUCAUCUCCUGUCACUGUCUUCCCAUCCACUGUCUCAUCAAUAUCAUCCCUAUUAAUGCGCCCUUCUUCAAAUGGUCCAUCCCCAGCUGCUCCUCAUCCAACAGCUGCAGUUUCACCGACUCCUUUUACCCAGAAUGCCCCUCCCUCUCGCAUCCCACUUCCCAAGCAGCCUCUCAGCCCUCGGCGCAGCCUCUGCCUGGAGGUGAAGCCAAAUUCAGGUUGGGCUGGAGUCACAUCGGCUUCUCCUACAGCAGACACAGGGUGUGAUGCUACAGAUGCUGCAGGAGUCAAACCAGGUCAGACACCCCUCAUACUGUGGAUGUGUCAUAUCCACACACAGCUAAGAGUCUAAAGUGAUAAACACGUGUUAUUAUCUUCUUAUUUUCAGCACGAGGUCGGCCUCAGUCUUUAAGUUUGGAUUCUUCUUUCUCAAGCUUCCUGCCCGUGAAGCAGAAGAAGGACUUUGAGAGGUAGAAUAUUCUUGUCACUUACAAAUGUCACAAGCAGCUAUAUAACCUUUCAUAGAUAUUUGUGUAUUGUUUGUAUUUCAGUCUUUUAAUCAUGUGUGUAAUGUAUAUUUUAAGUGACAAGGAGCUGGGCCAGGUGACUACGGCUAAAGAGUGCCCUCUGGUGCCUGAACAAGCAGACUCAUUGAGCCCCCAGCCAGGUUGGUUCUCCUCUUCAUCACCACAUUCCUCACCAUCCUUCCUGCUGUCUGUUUAUCUG
Molecule: long non-coding RNA, 1189 nt
Organism: Parambassis ranga (Indian glassy fish)
Lineage: Eukaryota; Metazoa; Chordata; Actinopteri; Ambassidae
Source: Ensembl